RNAcentral lists this unclassified non-coding RNA (155 nucleotides) under uncultured fungus. Its description in RNAcentral is "sequence contains ITS1, 5.8S rRNA gene". Lineage: Eukaryota; Fungi. RNAcentral also lists the same sequence under 1 other name. The record is from RNAcentral.
CCGAGCGAGGGCCCCCGGGCCCGACCUCCCACCCCCUGACAAACGACCGGUUUGCCUCGGGGGCGACCCGGCCGUCCGGAAGGAGAGAGCCGGGUGCCCCCGGAGGACACUCACUCUGCGUCUUUGCGUCGGAGUCCGAAAGAAAAUCGCAAGCA